GCCUCCGUGGCGUAGUUGGGAGCGUGAUGGCUCCGGAAAAGCCAGAGGUCGCAGGUUCGAGUCCUGCCGGAGGACCA
Molecule: non-coding RNA, 77 nt
Organism: Leguminivora glycinivorella
Lineage: Eukaryota; Metazoa; Arthropoda; Insecta; Lepidoptera; Tortricidae
Source: the annotation of a RefSeq genome assembly